CAGCCGUAAACUAUGCGCGUUAGGUGUAUCGGUGACCACGAGUCACCGAGGUGCCGAAGGGAAACCGUGAAACGUGCCGCCUGGGAAGUACGGUCGCAAGGCUGAAACUUAAAGGAAUUGGUGGGGGAGCACCACAACGGGUGGAGCCUGCGGUUUAAUUGGACUCAACGCCGGACAACUCACCGGGGACGACAGCAAUAUGUAGGCCAGGCUGAAGACCUUGCCUGAAUCGCUGAGAGGUGGUGCAUGGCGUAGACGUCU
This 261-nucleotide ribosomal RNA is filed under the name uncultured archaeon. RNAcentral describes it as "partial 16S ribosomal RNA". It matches the Rfam family "Archaeal small subunit ribosomal RNA", at positions 748 to 1009 of the family's 1478-position model. The record is from RNAcentral.